Molecule: ribosomal RNA, 253 nt
Filed under: uncultured bacterium
Lineage: Bacteria
Description: partial 16S ribosomal RNA
Rfam family: Bacterial small subunit ribosomal RNA
Source: RNAcentral
UACGAAGGGGGCUAGCGUUGCUCGGAAUCACUGGGCGUAAAGCGCACGUAGGCGGCUUGUUAAGUCAGGAGUGAAAUCCUGGAGCUCAACUCCAGAACUGCCUUUGAUACUGGCGAUCUCGAGUCCGGGAGAGGUGAGUGGAACUGCGAGUGUAGAGGUGAAAUUCGUAGAUAUUCGCAAGAACACCAGUGGCGAAGGCGGCUCACUGGCCCGGUACUGACGCUGAGGUGCGAAAGCGUGGGGAGCAAACAGG